GUAAGGAAUAUUGGGCAAUGGGCGCAAGCCUGACCCAGCCAUGCCGCGUGAAGGAUGACGGCCCUAUGGGUUGUAAACUUCUUUUGUACGGGAAAAAACCACCGGUCGUGACCGGUGCUGAUGGUACCGUAAGAAUAAGCAUCGGCUAACUCCGUGCCAGCAGCCGCGGUAAUACGGAGGAUGCAAGCGUUAUCCGGAUUCAUUGGGUUUAAAGGGUGCGCAGGCGGAAUAAUAAGUCAGUGGUGAAAUCCUACUGCUCAACUGUAGAACUGCCAUUGAUACUGUUAUUCUUGAGUACACUUGAAGUUGGCGGAAUGUGUCAUGUAGCGGUGAAAUGCUUAGAUAUGACACAGAACACCGAUCGCGAAGGCAGCUCACUAAAUUGUAACUGACGCUCAUGCACGAAAGCGUGGGGAUCAAACAGGAUUAGAUACCCUAGUAGUCC
Molecule: ribosomal RNA, 445 nt
Filed under: uncultured bacterium
Lineage: Bacteria
Description: partial 16S ribosomal RNA
Rfam family: Bacterial small subunit ribosomal RNA
Source: RNAcentral